This 759-nucleotide ribosomal RNA is filed under the name uncultured Enterobacteriaceae bacterium. RNAcentral describes it as "bacterial SSU rRNA". It matches the Rfam family "Bacterial small subunit ribosomal RNA", at positions 28 to 776 of the family's 1533-position model. Lineage: Bacteria; Pseudomonadati; Pseudomonadota; Gammaproteobacteria; Enterobacterales; Enterobacteriaceae. The record is from RNAcentral.
AUUGAACGCUGGCGGCAGGCCUAACACGUGCAAGUCGAGCGGCAGCGGAAAGUAGCUUGCUACUUUGCCGGCGAGCGGCGGACGGGUGAGUAAUGUCUGGGAAACUGCCUGAUGGAGGGGGAUAACUACUGGAAACGGUAGCUAAUACCGCAUGACCUCGAAAGAGCAAAGUGGGGGAUCUUCGGACCUCACGCCAUCGGAUGUGCCCAGAUGGGAUUAGCUAGUAGGUGAGGUAAUGGCUCACCUAGGCGACGAUCCCUAGCUGGUCUGAGAGGAUGACCAGCCACACUGGAACUGAGACACGGUCCAGACUCCUACGGGAGGCAGCAGUGGGGAAUAUUGCACAAUGGGCGCAAGCCUGAUGCAGCCAUGCCGCGUGUGUGAAGAAGGCCUUAGGGUUGUAAAGCACUUUCAGCGAGGAGGAAGGCAUCAUACUUAAUACGUGUGGUGAUUGACGUUACUCGCAGAAGAAGCACCGGCUAACUCCGUGCCAGCAGCCGCGGUAAUACGGAGGGUGCAAGCGUUAAUCGGAAUUACUGGGCGUAAAGCGCACGCAGGCGGUUUGUUAAGUCAGAUGUGAAAUCCCCGCGCUUAACGUGGGAACUGCAUUUGAAACUGGCAAGCUAGAGUCUUGUAGAGGGGGGUAGAAUUCCAGGUGUAGCGGUGAAAUGCGUAGAGAUCUGGAGGAAUACCGGUGGCGAAGGCGGCCCCCUGGACAAAGACUGACGCUCAUGUGCGAAAGCGUGGGGAGCAAACAGG